UUGAACGCUGGCGGCAUGCCUUACACAUGCAAGUCGAACGGUAACGCGGGGCAACCUGGCGACGAGUGGCGAACGGGUGAGUAAUGCAUCGGAACGUGCCCAGAAGUGGGGGAUAGCCCGGCGAAAGCCGGAUUAAUACCGCAUGAGACCUGAGGGUGAAAGCGGGGGAUCGCAAGACCUCGCGCUUUUGGAGCGGCCGAUGUCAGAUUAGCUAGUUGGUGGGGUAAAGGCCUACCAAGGCGACGAUCUGUAGCUGGUCUGAGAGGACGACCAGCCACACUGGGACUGAGACACGGCCCAGACUCCUACGGGAGGCAGCAGUGGGGAAUUUUGGACAAUGGGCGCAAGCCUGAUCCAGCCAUGCCGCGUGCGGGAAGAAGGCCUUCGGGUUGUAAACCGCUUUUGUCAGGGAAGAAACGCUCUGGGCUAAUACCCUGGGGUAAUGACGGUACCUGAAGAAUAAGCACCGGCUAACUACGUG
RNAcentral lists this ribosomal RNA (481 nucleotides) under uncultured bacterium. Its description in RNAcentral is "partial 16S ribosomal RNA". It matches the Rfam family "Bacterial small subunit ribosomal RNA", at positions 29 to 507 of the family's 1533-position model. The record is from RNAcentral.